This 468-nucleotide ribosomal RNA is filed under the name uncultured bacterium. RNAcentral's name for it is "partial 16S ribosomal RNA". It matches the Rfam family "Bacterial small subunit ribosomal RNA", at positions 28 to 507 of the family's 1533-position model. The record is from RNAcentral.
GACGAACGCUGGCGGCGUGCUUAACACAUGCAAGUCGAACGGAAAGGCCCUGCUUUUGUGGUGUGCUCGAGUGGCGAACGGGUGAGUAACACGUGAGUAACCUGCCCUUGACUUUGGUAUAACUUCAGGAAACUGUGUCUAAUACCGGAUAGGAGCUCCUUCUGCAUGGUGGGGGUUGGAUAGUUUCGGCGGUUGGGGAUGGACUCGCGGCUUAUCAGCUUGUUGGUGGGGUAGUGGCUUACCAAGGCUUUGACGGGUAGCCGGCCUGAGAGGGUGACCGGCCAAAUUGGGACUGAGAGACGGCCAAGACUCCUACGGGAGGAAGAAGUGGGGAAUAUGGCAAAAUGGGCGGAAGCCGGAUGAAGCAACGCCGCGUGCGGGAGGACGGCCUUCGGGUUGUAAACCGCUUUCGCCGGUGACGAAGCGUGAGUGACGGUAAUGGGUAAAGAAGCACCGGCUAACUACGUG